UUCUCUUCAUUGUUAUUUUGUGUAGUGUUCAGUUUGUUCAAUUAAAAUAUGACAAACACUUACCACGCUGCAUUUUGGUCUUCCUCUCCUUCCACCAACGAGAAUUGUUACAUGAAUUAUGGACUCAGCUGUGUCUUGACUCUCUGCAACUACCUCUACACAAGAGAUCUCCUAAAAGACUAAAAUAUUAUUCGAAAGUGUCUUCGUCGAGGAAAACUGAAGACUGCUGUGCUACUUCCGAAGAGUGAUACAGUCCACCCGGUCCUGGGUUACCUCCAGACAACUCCCCUGAAGCCUGUGUGUGUCGUAGAGCAAAACAACCGACACCUUCGUGUUCAUGAGAAUCUCUCCUUUCAAGUCUCUCCAGUGUGCAAAGCUGCCAUCAAGGCAAAUUGCUACUUUGAAGAAUCUCAUGUAUAAAAUAUACUUUGAUUCAUUUGAUAUGUUCAUGCCAGUAAAUUUCAGCAAGUAGCAAUGUGAA
Oncorhynchus kisutch (coho salmon) is the source of this 481-nucleotide long non-coding RNA. RefSeq lists it as uncharacterized. NCBI's taxonomy places the organism in Eukaryota, Metazoa, Chordata, Actinopteri, Salmoniformes, Salmonidae. The transcript has 3 exons. The record is from RefSeq and is a predicted model, not a curated record.